CGUGACUAUAGACGUAUGACUAGAAGGGCGCUACUACGUAGUGGUACGAGAACGAAUACGACUUUGCUGCGCGCCGAGGCGGUCGACGUCACUUGAGAAACGUCGCAGCAGCCGACGCCGUGAAUUCAGUCGGCAGACGCCAGUCACCGUCUGGUCCGACUGUUGACGAUCCUACGACGCACGCAGUUCGCAGAGUAUCUGGUGUGGAAAACAAACCAAGAAUGCCAAGGACAGACGAGAUCGUGUCUUAUCUAUCUUGAAUGAGAACGUUCACCAGGAUCUCUGUAUUAUCAGAAUCUUCAGAGUGCAUCGUCCAGAGAAUGAUAUCGUGCCGCAAAGAGUGCACUUUUCCUAUGACACGGCUAAGCCCUCUCUUCGUCCUAAAGUAAGUAUCCACUGCAUGGUAGGUACGGAACACGUGGGAUACCCUGGACAAGGAUAAGAGGUAGAACGCAAAACGCAAAGGUGGACACACCUCAGCUCGUUUCUCCAAUUGCUGAGCUGAACGUGUUUGUGUGUGAACGUCAGCCUGCGUAAGUGACAUUUGUGCCGUGCGAGAGCUGAGUUCGUUGCCCCGUGAAAGAAGACAGGACCCAGCCAAAGCGUUUCUGGGUUUACAGCUUUACAGCUUUACAGCUUUACAGCUUUACAGCUUGGUCGACAAUCUGCACUCGAUACGUGCAGGCCCAAUGAAGUUUCGAUACCAGGAGACUCUGCAAGAAGAGGAUCAUGAGAGAGACAGUCGAUUAUGCUUUACAUGCUCAAAGGAUUCUUAUGGCUCCUUGGUAAUGUAACACAACGGCCAAGGAAAGUACCGAUAUUCGUGCUGUACCAGAUGGAAAUCUCAAAGAAUCGUUGGCCCGUACUAAGAUCGGUUAACAUUAAGAGAGCGUUCGUUGACGUCAGAAAAAAAACUGCUACCCGACCCCCGCUACUCGCCAUACCAGCUCUUACGAUUAGUUUGCUUUAGAGAGCGGACCCGGGCCUACCCUAUCGAACUACGGAUUUGUCGUUUCACUCCGGCAGAAUUCAUUACUGGCAUCAUACAUGGUCACACGCGUCAUGUGUGGUUGUAGCUCGUAUCUGUAUGGAUAUAUACAUUUACUCGCAUUUGUACUCCAGGAGAAAGGUCACUGACCUCCUUCUCUGAAAUUAUAAAAUAGCAUUACGCCACUUGCUGUUUUGACUUCGUCGGACAUCACUGUUUCUCCUCGGUCUUUUUCACGGGAUGCCCGGUCACAUCUGAAAGGAGAAAAUUUGAGCCUUCAUUAACUUGAUAGCGACAACCAGCUAGCUGGCUAAGAAAUUGGUCAAAGCCUGACACCAGACCCCCGAGAAGAACUUAGGUCAGGAUGGUAGAAAGGACGGACAACGUUUGGCUGGUUGCUUUGGGUCACGGGUCGUCGUACUCGAAAGUCCAAGCUUUCCCGGCUCAUCGGCAUGCGCAACUCGCUAUAUUGUCUAUUAACGAAAUUUCUAAUUCGAAUUUAUGAUAAUGAAUAAUGAAGUAAAGGUUAUCCACUAGCCCGUGGCUGAACUGCCAAUCAGUCAGGGGCUCUCAUCUGAGUAAAGUUAUUCGCAACAUCUUUCUUGUAAAUAUCUCUUCUGCACUGUGCUAAAUCAUUAUUUUUAAUAUCCUGUCAGUAUUACCAACCUGUGAAGAAGAGUGAAAAUGUCGAGAAAGAAAAUAUUGUAGACUUGCACUCUGAUAACCCUGACGUCAUCUGAUCUCAAUUAGCUGUAUCACUGAAAUAACUCAGAACAUGAGAAAAAAGGGUUAAUAAUCAUGUGGUCGUAUCGUUACAAGAAAUACUAAUGGGUGAUAAUGGCAGUAACGAUAGUACAAAUAGUAGCGUGGCAUUGGUGGUAGUAGCAGCAGUAGUAGUACAGUACUAGAGUAGGAGGGGACGAAGAAGAAAAAGGAUGGUGACGAGGAGUUGUCGGAGGCCGAGAAGGAAGAGGAGACGAUGAGGUGGGACGGAGGACACUUUCACUCUCACAGGUGCAUGACCGAUCGCCGAGCAUCGAGCGGCCCGUCGGUUGAUGAGCAUGAGGCCCCCAGAUCGGCGGCCUCUCCUGGCGUAGAGAGUUAUUGGCUUGGUAAGAUACCUUCAGCGGGUCCGCUAGA
Molecule: long non-coding RNA, 2128 nt
Organism: Cephus cinctus (wheat stem sawfly)
Lineage: Eukaryota; Metazoa; Arthropoda; Insecta; Hymenoptera; Cephidae
Exons: 3
Source: RefSeq, a predicted model, not a curated record